RNAcentral lists this long non-coding RNA (273 nucleotides) under Lathyrus oleraceus (garden pea). RNAcentral describes it as "Pisum sativum (pea) long non-coding RNA (PSAT_LNC036325)". The record is from RNAcentral. Lineage: Eukaryota; Viridiplantae; Streptophyta; Magnoliopsida; Fabales; Fabaceae.
AAAAACCUCACUCACAUUUAUGGGCGUGCAUAGAUGAUCAUUUAAUAUGAAUCAAUCCAUUUUUAUGAUUAUGAUUUACAAAGCAAACCACUUCUCACAUAAACCAAUUUAAAAUUCAGAACUGUUUUCGAACCGGUUUAAAACCGAUUUUAAAUGGGUUUUGAUUUUAAUCAAAAUUAUUUUAUUUAAUUUAAAUUUUAUUUUCUUUAAAUUAAUAUUAGUUUUUAAAUUUAAAAUCAUAAACAAAUUUUAUGAGGUUUUAAAACUUAAAAA